CAAUAGCGUAUAUUAAAGUUGUUGCAGUUAAAAAGCUCGUAGUUGGAUUUGUGGCGUACGGUGUGUUCCGGGCACUUGUUGUCUGAGUAACCUGCUGUUGCCAUCCUUGGGUGGAACCUGUGUGGCAUUAGGUUGUCGUGCAGGGGAUGCCCAUCAUUACUGUGAAAAAAUUAGAGUGUUCAAAGCAGGCUUAUGCCGUUGAAUAUAUUAGCAUGGAAUAAUGAGAUAGGACUUUUUUGCUAUUUUGUUGGUUUGCGCAAAGAGGUAAUGAUUAAUAGGGACAGUUGGGGGUAUUCGUAUUCCAUUGUCAGAGGUGAAAUUCUUGGAUUUUUGGAAGACGAACUACUGCGAAAGCAUUUACCAAGGAUGUUUUCAUUAA
Molecule: ribosomal RNA, 379 nt
Filed under: uncultured eukaryote
Lineage: Eukaryota
Description: partial 18S ribosomal RNA
Rfam family: Eukaryotic small subunit ribosomal RNA
Source: RNAcentral